Molecule: ribosomal RNA, 497 nt
Filed under: uncultured bacterium
Lineage: Bacteria
Description: partial 16S ribosomal RNA
Rfam family: Bacterial small subunit ribosomal RNA
Source: RNAcentral
GAUGAACGCUGGCGGCGUGCCUAAUACAUGCAAGUCGAGCGAACAGACGAGGAGCUUGCUCCUCUGACGUUAGCGGCGGACGGGUGAGUAACACGUGGAUAACCUACCUAUAAGACUGGGAUAACUUCGGUAAACCGGAGCUAAUACCGGAUAAUAUAUUGAACCGCAUGGUUCAAUAGUGAAAGACGGUGUUGCUGUCACUUAUAGAUGGAUCCGCUCCGCAUUAGCUAGUUGGUAAGGUAACGGCUUACCAAGGCGACGAUGCGUAGCCGACCUGAGAGGGUGCUCGGCCACACUGGAACUGAGACACGGUCAAGACUCCUACGAGAGGCAGCAGUAGGGAAUCUUCCGCAAUGGGCGAAAGCCUGACGGAGCAACGCCGCGUGAGUGAUGAAGGUCUUCGGAUCGUAAAACUCUGUUAUUAGGGAAGAACAAAUGUGUAAGUAACUAUGCACGUCUUGACGGUACCUAAUCAGAAAGCCACGGCUAACUCCGUG